RNAcentral lists this ribosomal RNA (253 nucleotides) under uncultured bacterium. RNAcentral describes it as "partial 16S ribosomal RNA". It matches the Rfam family "Bacterial small subunit ribosomal RNA", at positions 524 to 776 of the family's 1533-position model. The record is from RNAcentral.
UACGGAGGGUGCAAGCGUUAUCCGGAUUCACUGGGUUUAAAGGGUGCGUAGGCGGGCAGGUAAGUCCGUGGUGAAAUCUCUGAGCUUAACUCAGAAACUGCCAUGGAUACUAUUUGUCUUGAAUAUUGUGGAGGUAAGCGGAAUAUGUCAUGUAGCGGUGAAAUGCUUAGAUAUGACAUAGAACACCAAUUGCGAAGGCAGCUGGCUACAGGGAUAUUGACACUGAGGCACGAAAGCGUGGGGAUCAAACAGG